GUUCCUCUUCACAUAACUCUAGAAAUUCUUUCAUUUCAUUGAAGAAUCCACCUUUCUCAGUGUUUCCACAGCAUGUUAUGAUGUCUCUAAUUUCAGUUACAUGAGAAAUGAGAUUGGAACACAUAGUGAUGAAACUAUGAUAGUGGAUGCUAGCUGCUUUUUUUGCUUCAGAUAACUCAUCACUUAGUUCACCUAACACUAAUAAACCAAGAAAUAAAUAACCCUUUUCACUUUCAUCAUUGUGUUUUUCAUAGAUAGCUUGUCUUUUGCCUUCUGAAUGAGCUACUUGUUCCACUACAAAAUGAAGCAAACUAGUUUUACCAUUUGUGCUUUUUACACCGGAAAGUUUUGUAAGAGCACUCAGGUUGAAACCUUGCGCAUUGCCUCUUGAAGUUCCAGCAUUCAUUCUGUUACCAGUUUUGAGAAUUGCCUCAAGGAGUUUCAAAAAUAGACCACUAGUUUUCAGUUCCUUGCAACCCAAGUCAAGUGUUUGUAAGUGUUCCUUAAGCCGAAGAAUUUCACUGU
This 525-nucleotide long non-coding RNA is filed under the name Medicago truncatula (barrel medic). RNAcentral's name for it is "lncRNA gene17244". The record is from RNAcentral. Lineage: Eukaryota; Viridiplantae; Streptophyta; Magnoliopsida; Fabales; Fabaceae.